CCCUUAGAGUUUGAUCCUGGCUCAGGACGAACGCUGGCGGCGUGCUUAACACAUGCAAGUCGAACGAAGAGCGAUGGAAGCUUGCUUCUAUCAAUCUUAGUGGCGAACGGGUGAGUAACGCGUAAUCAACCUGCCCUUCAGAGGGGGACAACAGUUGGAAACGACUGCUAAUACCGCAUACGAUCCAAUCUCGACAUCGAGACUGGAUGAAAGGUGGCCUCUAUUUAUAAGCUAUCACUGAAGGAGGGGAUUGCGUCUGAUUAGCUAGUUGGAGGGGUAACGGCCCACCAAGGCGAUGAUCAGUAGCCGGUCUGAGAGGAUGAACGGCCACAUUGGGACUGAGACACGGCCCAGACUCCUACGGGAGGCAGCAGUGGGGAAUCUUCCGCAAUGGACGAAAGUCUGACGGAGCAACGCCGCGUGAGUGAUGACGGCCUUCGGGUUGUAAAGCUCUGUUAAUCGGGACGAAUGGUUCUUGUGCAAAUAGUGCAAGGA
This 495-nucleotide ribosomal RNA is filed under the name uncultured bacterium. Its description in RNAcentral is "bacterial SSU rRNA". It matches the Rfam family "Bacterial small subunit ribosomal RNA", at positions 1 to 472 of the family's 1533-position model. The record is from RNAcentral.